This 253-nucleotide ribosomal RNA is filed under the name uncultured bacterium. RNAcentral's name for it is "partial 16S ribosomal RNA". It matches the Rfam family "Bacterial small subunit ribosomal RNA", at positions 524 to 776 of the family's 1533-position model. The record is from RNAcentral.
UACGUAGGUGGCGAGCGUUGUCCGGAUUUACUGGGCGUAAAGAGCGCGCAGGCGGUCGAUCAAGUCGAGUGUGAAAGCCCCCGGCUCAACUGGGGAGGGUCAUUCGAUACUGAUCGACUCGAAGGCAGGAGAGGGUAGUGGAAUUCCCGGUGUAGUGGUGAAAUGCGUAGAUAUCGGGAGGAACACCAGUGGCGAAGGCGACUACCUGGCCUGUUCUUGACGCUGAGGCGCGGAAGCUAGGGGAGCAAACGGG